This 492-nucleotide ribosomal RNA is filed under the name uncultured bacterium. RNAcentral describes it as "partial 16S ribosomal RNA". It matches the Rfam family "Bacterial small subunit ribosomal RNA", at positions 29 to 507 of the family's 1533-position model. The record is from RNAcentral.
AGUGAACGCUGGCGGUAGGCCUAACACAUGCAAGUCGAACGGCAGCACAGUAAGAGCUUGCUCUUACGGGUGGCGAGUGGCGGACGGGUGAGGAAUACAUCGGAAUCUACUUUUUCGUGGGGGAGAACGUAGGGAAACUUACGCUAAUACCGCAUACGACCUACGGGUGAAAGCAGGGGAUCUUCGGACCUUGCGCGAUUGUAUGAGCCGAUGUCGGAUUAGCUAGUUGGGGGGGUAAAGGCCCACCAAGGCGACGAUCCGUAGCUGGUCUGAGAGGAUGAUCAGCCACACUGGAACUGAGACACGGUCCAGACUCCUACGGGAGGCAGCAGUGGGGAAUAUUGGACAAUGGGCGCAAGCCUGAUCCAGCCAUACCGCGUGGGUGAAGAAGGCCUUCGGGUUGUAAAGCCCUUUUGUUGGGAAAGAAAAGCAGCAGGUUAAUACCCUGCUGUUCUGACGGUACCCAAAGAAUAAGCACCGGCUAACUUCGUG